This 447-nucleotide ribosomal RNA is filed under the name uncultured bacterium. RNAcentral's name for it is "bacterial SSU rRNA". It matches the Rfam family "Bacterial small subunit ribosomal RNA", at positions 329 to 792 of the family's 1533-position model. The record is from RNAcentral.
GUCCAGACUCCUACGGGAGGCAGCAGUGGGGGAUAUUGCACAAUGGGGGGAACCCUGAUGCAGCGACGCCGCGUGGGUGAAGAAGUAUUUCGGUAUGUAAAGCCCUAUCGGCAGGGAAGAAAUUGGACGGUACCUGACUAAGAAGCCCCGGCUAACUACGUGCCAGCAGCCGCGGUAAUACGUAGGGGGCAAGCGUUAUCCGGAUUCACUGGGUGUAAAGGGAGCGUAGACGGCAAUGCAAGCCAGAUGUGAAAGCCCGGGGCUCAACCCCGGGACUGCAUUUGGAACUGUGUAGCUGGAGUGUCGGAGAGGCAGGCGGAAUUCCUAGUGUAGCGGUGAAAUGCGUAGAUAUUAGGAGGAACACCAGUGGCGAAGGCGGCCUGCUGGACGAUGACUGACGUUGAGGCUCGAAAGCGUGGGGAGCAAACAGGAUUAGAUACCCCCGUA